GUGGAUAUAGUUCAGUUGGUUAGAGCGCCAGGUUGUGGCCCUGGAGGUCGUGGGUUCGAAUCCCACUAUUCACCCCA
RNAcentral lists this transfer RNA (77 nucleotides) under Clostridiaceae bacterium. RNAcentral's name for it is "tRNA-His". It matches the Rfam family "tRNA". From Rfam's summary of the family: Transfer RNA (tRNA) molecules are approximately 80 nucleotides in length. The record is from RNAcentral. Lineage: Bacteria; Bacillati; Bacillota; Clostridia; Eubacteriales; Clostridiaceae.